RNAcentral lists this unclassified non-coding RNA (370 nucleotides) under soil metagenome. RNAcentral's name for it is "partial contains 5.8S ribosomal RNA, internal transcribed spacer 2, and large subunit ribosomal RNA". The stretch from base 1 to 121 matches the Rfam family "5.8S ribosomal RNA", at positions 35 to 154 of the family's 154-position model. The record is from RNAcentral.
GAUGAAGAACGUAGUGAAAUGCGAUAAGUAAUGCGAAUUGCAGAAUUCCAGUGAGUCAUCGAAUCUUUGAACGCACAUUGCGCCCUUUGGUAUUCCGAAGGGCAUGCCUGUUCGAGCGUCAUUAUCACCCCUCAAGCCCCCGGCUUGGUGUUGGACGGCUUGGUGGAGACCCUUUUGUGGCCCACCCCUCCCAAAGACAAUGACGGCGGCCUCGUUGGACCCCCGGUACACUGAGUUCUUCACGGGACACGUAUCGGACACACGGGUUUACGGGUCACGGUCUGCCUCCCCUCAGGGAGAACUUUUCUAAGGUUGACCUCGGAUCAGGUAGGGAUACCCGCUGAACUUAAGCAUAUCAAUAAGCGGAGGA